RNAcentral lists this long non-coding RNA (2840 nucleotides) under Mytilus galloprovincialis (Mediterranean mussel). Lineage: Eukaryota; Metazoa; Mollusca; Bivalvia; Mytilida; Mytilidae. The record is from RNAcentral.
UUGUUUAUUUAUUUUUCCCACCUGAUCAUGUAUUUCUUUUCAUAUUUUAAUCUGAUUUUAUAGAUAUUUAAUACUGUACAAAUAUAUUUCAAGUCACGCACUGAGAGGUCAUUUUGUAUAAUCCAAAAUUAUCAACUUUGAAAGAAGCGUGUGGUUAGAAGAAAUAUUUGAUUCAACAAUUUGAAAUUACAAAAUUGAAAAAAAAGAAUAUAGCUCAUGUUCUCCUUUUCAACAAACAACAAAAUUUUGCAAAAGUUGAUAUUUCAAACCUCUAUCUAUUUAUUGUAUAAAGGAUAAGAACAACAUUUCAGUCAAAAAGAUGGUUAAAUUUUAUUGGUUGUUGAUAUUUUAUUAUGGACCAGUAUUACUUUUAAAAAUACUUGCCAACCUUUGUUAAUGAAUGGUUGUAUAAUUGUGUAAUUUAUUGUUAAUGUUUUAAUUGUUGAUGUGCUUAAUGGUGCAAGUUGCAUUGUGUACAUAAGAAUUUUCAUGGAAUGGUAUAUUUUUAUUUAAGCAAAUGAUAUUUUCUUUACAAAAACAGAAAAACUAUGUUCAUUAAUAUAACAUGUAUUUCAUGUGUUCACAAUAUAUCAAAAAGUUUUCCAUGAUUGUAUAUAAUGAGACUAGUCAAGUUAUAGUUUUGUGACAUAAUAUACAUAAUAGUUAAUGUCAUGUCUUGUAGUCUUGUUACUGUGCAUAUUUGAAAGACUUUACAGAGGCGGAUUUAGAGGGUUUUCAGGGGGCCCAGACCCCCCCACCCUCACCCCUUUUUGUGGGAAAAAUUUGGGUGAUUAUAUAGAGAAUCACUAAAGCAUGACUGGAGCUGGCCCUCUCUUAGGCAGCCAGUGGACCUCCCUUAUGAAAAUUUCGGGAUCCUUUCCUGCUUUUUCCUUUCACAAUACCAAUUGCUAAAAUGUUAAUCAAAUUGAAAUUUGACUCAAUUUCUACAAAGAUAGAAGUUGUUGAUAUUUUAACUCAUUGCUUGCACAGGUUUUGUAGAGUUAUUGAAAGUUUUUUUUUUUUUUUUAAUUCACACCAACUAAAUAAUCUUGUGACCAAUCUGCCCUUUUCUUUUUUUAGAAGGUUAAAGCAUAUAUAUAUAUAUGUACAGUGUAAACUGUGUAAUCAGACCCACUGGGGGACCAGAACAAAAUGUCAGAUUAAGCAGGGUAUCAGAAUUCUCGGAUUUUUCUGCAAGGAUACGCUUAUUUUGGGACCAUGAAUAUGUGUGGGUUAAAGCAGGAUGUUGGAAUACUUAAGUGUUGGAUUAGGCAGGUUACACUGUACCUAUUAUGAAUCAAACUAAGCUCUAGUCAAUAAUGUUAAGUGUGAAAAUAUUUGUAAAAUUUUUGUCAAUAUUUUUGCACAUCAUAGAUAAUGCUAGGAAUUUUUUGCCUUGAAAGAGAGAUACAAACCUAGUUUUUCUAUUCCAAUUUGAAAGAUUUGUACUGUAAUACUUUUGUACAUGUAGAAUAUUUUUCCUUUGUUUAAAUUUGUUUUAAUCAAAUUUCAGUUGGAAAAUAUUCAUUAAUAAACCUUAAAAAAAAUAAAUGAACUCAUUGAAUAGACAUGAAUAAUUGUAGCAUAUUUUAUAGAUUUAUUUGAAUGAAAGCAAUAAAUAGAUAAAUGUUCGAUAUUGAACUCUUAGUUUACAGCCUGUAUAGUGUCAUGAUUCUUCACUAUACUUCAUCAAAAGCAUUCUUUUUCCAAUAAAUUAAGGGAGGUAAUCCAGUAAAUUUGAUCUGCAAGUAUACAUCUUAUUUCAAUGUUUCUGUACCAUUUCGCAGAAGAAACUAUAACUUCACUCUCAAAAUUAGUUUCAAAUAUCAAUUUUUCAUUCCUUAUGAAUAACUUUCUUUUUAAAAUCCUUCAAAGACUAACACACACGAAAACAUGAUAUAAUAUAAGAUUAUAUCUGGAGAUGGUUCUCUUUAAGAAGAAACUAAUUUCCUGCCUUGACGGAAUGGUAGAACAAUUUUCAAUAAUUUAAAGACAAUUCAGUUGGACCCUAAAUUGAUGACAUUACAAUAUUGUUUGCUGGUUUCAUUUUUAUGCCCCACCUACGAUAGUAGAGGGGCAUUAUGUUUUCUGGUCUGUGCGUCCGUUCGUUCGUUCGUUCGUCCGUCUGUCUGUUCGUUCUUUCGUCCGUCUGUCCUGCUUCAGGUUAAAGUUUUUGGUCAAGUUAGUUUUUGAUGAAGUUGAAGUCCAAUCAACUUGAAACUUAGUACACAUUUUCCUUAUGAUAUGAUCUUUCUAAUUUUAAAGCCAAAUUAAACUUUUGACCCCAAUUUCACGGUCCACUGAACAUAGAAAAUGAAAGUGCAUGUUUCAGGUUAAAGUUUUUGGUCAAGGUAGUUUUUGAUGAAGUUGAAGUCCAAUCAACUUGAAACUUAGUACAAAUGUUCCCAAUGAUAUUAUCUUUCUAAUUUUAAUGCCUAAUUAUAUUUUUUAUCCAAUUUCACAGUCCAUUGAACAUGGAAAAUGAUAGUGGGAGUGGGGCAUCCGUGUACUUUGGACACAUUCUUGUUUUUACUAAUUUGCUUCAUGUAAGCUCCAUACAAAGUUCAAUAUGUUAAUAAAUUUUCAAUAACUACUAGUACUUCUACUUGAAAAAUAAUCACUAUAAUAAAUUCAGAAAUGUCAAAUUGGUCACAGACUGAACAACUCAAAACAUUGAUUGUCAUGAAAAACUGUUGUAAUUGUGAUCCCCCCUAAAACAAUCUGUGUUCAUGAAAUACUAUUUGAUUUCUUAUUGAUUGAGAUAUGUAUGUUUUCCAUGUCAAUUUACAUCGUGUAUUGUUAUGUCUUUUAUCAAAUAAAACAAACAAAAGAAACAAGAC